GAUUAUAGCUCAAUGGUAGAGCACUUGCCUAGUAUGCAUGAGGCACUGGGUUCAAUCCCAGACCA
Molecule: transfer RNA, 65 nt
Filed under: Marmota monax (woodchuck)
Lineage: Eukaryota; Metazoa; Chordata; Mammalia; Rodentia; Sciuridae
Description: tRNA.Thr
Rfam family: tRNA (bases 6-61)
About the family: Transfer RNA (tRNA) molecules are approximately 80 nucleotides in length. Their secondary structure includes four short double-helical elements and three loops (D, anti-codon, and T loops).
Source: RNAcentral